GUUCCGAGCAGUAGAUGAUGAUCUGCCAAGAAGCAAUGAACAUCUUUCCUGCUGCUCAGUGAUUCACAAUGUCUGUGAGGAAAGUGAAAGGGGAAAACACCACACAGUGAAAACAGAGAUAAUUGAGAUUUGGCAAUGCUUUCUUUCACUUGAUUAUAUACUUAUGAUACAAGGUGAAAGCAGCGGCAGCUAAAUUACAAGUAAGAAACUACACAAACAGACUAGUAAAGGUAGAACCAUCUGCCAGCAAAAGCUUCCUGGAGCUACUGGACCUUCUCCCUGCCGUAGAGACCAUGGAGGCUCUCUCUCAAAAUCCACAGCCUUCGGUUCUUAGACACACUCUAUGCUCUAGGUGCCUCUCCGUUUGGGCAGAUAGGAAGACGACCGACCAAAACCCAAACAUACAAGGACAGGAAAAAAAGACAGAGCUACUGAAUGAAACAGAGUGAAAAGAGAGGGAGGAAUUGACGGGCCGAUGAACUGCCCCUGACGACUAGCUAAUCCUAACGACUAGCUAGUACCUGACGAGGGUGGUAAGCCAUGGCGGCGUUGCCCCUGUGAUCAGCCGCAGCUUCGUGGUGGCGCGGCGUGUAGGCGCCGUUGCCGGCGUCGUCGCCGACCUUGUUGUGCCACGCGGGAUGCCUCGGCGGCGUCUCGCCGCCAGCCUGGUCUUGCAAGUAGGCUGCGUGGCUGCCGGCGUGGGCGUGGUCGGCUUUCGGCGUGCUGUCGUGGUAGGCCUUGUGCCCAGCCUCGUGGACGUCGAUGAUGGGCGGCUGCCGGUACUCCGGCGCCGGCUCCGACAAGUAGCCGUGGCCGUGGUUCCCUCUGCUGCGGCCGUAGUCGUCCCGCCUGCCGCCGCCGAAGCACGAGCCGAACUCGAAGCACAUUCUAUAGGUGGCUCGUGCGUGCUGGGCCUGGGGCUACUGGUUGUGGCAAGCAGCACUAUCCUCGAACUAGCGUGGGUAUCGGUGCAGUGGUGGUGUUGAUGGCCCUGAAACUGACAUUGUUGGUGUGGUGGGUGAUAUAUAUCCGGGUGGUGUUGAUGGCCCUGAAACUAGAGCUCUUGCUGAACGCGAC
RNAcentral lists this ribosomal RNA (1077 nucleotides) under Triticum aestivum (bread wheat). RNAcentral describes it as "partial small subunit ribosomal RNA". The record is from RNAcentral. Lineage: Eukaryota; Viridiplantae; Streptophyta; Magnoliopsida; Poales; Poaceae.